This is a long non-coding RNA of Neolamprologus brichardi, 583 nucleotides long. RefSeq lists it as uncharacterized. Lineage: Eukaryota; Metazoa; Chordata; Actinopteri; Cichliformes; Cichlidae. The record is from RefSeq and is a predicted model, not a curated record.
GUCCUGUGUCAGAGAUGCCAGGCUGCUUUCUGUAAUGAACAUAGAUUCUUCGAAGAGCCUUCACACCGCAACCACUGAAACAUCAAGAAUCCGAGAUGCUGAUUCAUUUAAAGCUGGAGGACAAACAGCUGACGAGGUUUGGAGAAGGCCGCCCCCUGCCGCCACUGAGGACAACUACACUAAUACAGACAAGAGCGCCUCAAACAGUUACACACUCAAGAGUUGGGGUUUUUGCCGUAUGCAACUGGCUACCAUCUCCAAUGCUUGUGCAAAACAGAAAAACUGGUAAGUCAGGAGCUGGACGAAAAAGGGGGUGAACGGUGUGCCGAGAGCCAGAGAGACCCGGGAUGAUGAAAAGAGAAAGGAGGAUCGGAUCACCUCGCCCACAGAGCCUCUCACCUCGACACACUGAGGGGGGAUCGACACAUUGCCAAUAUGGCCAGCUUUCAAGCAAUCACCCCUUGAAGCUUCUCUGUGGGGAAGCUGAGGGAUCCCCCACAUUGCACUGUGGGAAACGCCAACCUCAGCUCCGGGCCACCCCUCGCAUAACUUCAGGUAAACUAGUCUAUGCAGCAGAGUGAAU